UACGUAGGGUGCGAGCGUUAAUCGGAAUUACUGGGCGUAAAGCGUGCGCAGGCGGUUGUGUAAGCCAGUCGUGAAAUCCCCGGGCUUAACCUGGGAAUGGCGAUUGGGACUGCACGGCUGGAGUAUGGCAGAGGGGACUGGAAUUCCUGGUGUAGCAGUGAAAUGCGUAGAUAUCAGGAGGAAUACCGAUGGCGAAGGCAGGUCCCUGGGCUGAUACUGACGCUCAUGCACGAAAGCGUGGGGAGCAAACAGG
RNAcentral lists this ribosomal RNA (253 nucleotides) under uncultured bacterium. Its description in RNAcentral is "partial 16S ribosomal RNA". It matches the Rfam family "Bacterial small subunit ribosomal RNA", at positions 524 to 776 of the family's 1533-position model. RNAcentral also lists the same sequence under 1 other name. The record is from RNAcentral.